CGAACGCUGGCGGCGUGCUUAACACAUGCAAGUCGAACGGUGAAGGGGUCUGCUUUUGUGGGCCCUGGAUGAGUGGCGAACGGGUGAGUAACACGUGAGUAACCUGCCCCCUUCUUCUGGAUAACCGCAUGAAAGUGUGGCUAAUACGGGAUAUUCUGGGUCUGUCGCAUGAUGGGUCUGGGAAAGAUUGCGCCUUUGGGUGUUUUUGGUGGGGGAUGGGCUCGCGGCCUAUCAGCUUGUUGGUGGGGUGAUGGCCUACCAAGGCGGUGACGGGUAGCCGGCCUGAGAGGGUGGACGGUCACACUGGGACUGAGACACGGCCCAGACUCCUACGGGAGGCAGCAGUGGGGAAUAUUGCACAAUGGGCGCAAGCCUGAUGCAGCGACGCCGCGUGAGGGAUGGAGGCCUUCGGGUUGUAAACCUCUUUCGCCAGUGAAGCAGGCCUGCUCCUUGUGGGUGGGUUGACGGUAGCUGGAUAAGAAGCGCCGGCUAACUACGUG
RNAcentral lists this ribosomal RNA (500 nucleotides) under uncultured bacterium. RNAcentral describes it as "partial 16S ribosomal RNA". It matches the Rfam family "Bacterial small subunit ribosomal RNA", at positions 30 to 507 of the family's 1533-position model. The record is from RNAcentral.